UGCAUUUAAUUUAAUCUUUUUGGCAUUUUUGCGUCCAAUUUUUGUUCAUUUUUUAUCCGAUUAUUUUUAUUUUUUAGCCAAUUUAAUUAGUGGGAUUCAUUAGAAUUAAUUGUAUUUUUAAAUAUAAUUUUAUUUUGGUUUUUUAGUUUUAUUCAAAUUUUUAAACUUUGAUUUUAACGUUUUUUUUAGUUUUUAGAAUCAAGCUCUUUUCAAUUAAGAAAGAUCAAGGGGAAAUAUCUCCCUCCUCUCUAACAAGCAACUCCAUGCGCCGCCUCAUGAGAG
Molecule: long non-coding RNA, 282 nt
Filed under: Lathyrus oleraceus (garden pea)
Lineage: Eukaryota; Viridiplantae; Streptophyta; Magnoliopsida; Fabales; Fabaceae
Description: Pisum sativum (pea) long non-coding RNA (PSAT_LNC011712)
Source: RNAcentral